CCUCAACCUCACUUCAAUUCCUACUUUAUCAUCAACGAUCUGCUCCAUCGAUUUAAUUGCUCAUGGAACGGAUUGUCGGCGGCAAGUACAAGCUCGGCCGGAAAAUCGGUAGUGGAUCCUUCGGCGAAAUCUAUCUCGCCACUCAUAUCGAUACUUUUGAGAUCGUUGCUGUUAAGAUCGAGAACAGUAAAACAAAACACCCGCAAUUGCUUUACGAAGCAAAGUUAUAUAAUAUUCUUCAAGGAGGCAGUGGUAUUCCUAGCAUAAAAUGGUCUGGUGUUGAUGGGGACGACAAUGUACUGGUCCUUGAUUUGCUGGGGCCAAGCCUCGAGGACCUGUUUGUGUACUGUGGAAGGAAGUUCUCGCUCAAGACAGUUUUGAUGUUAGCUGAUCAAAUGAUUACAAGGAUAGAAUACGUGCACUCUAAAGGAUUUCUUCAUAGAGACAUCAAACCUGAUAACUUCCUC
This 467-nucleotide unclassified non-coding RNA is filed under the name Hevea brasiliensis (rubber tree). The record is from RNAcentral. Lineage: Eukaryota; Viridiplantae; Streptophyta; Magnoliopsida; Malpighiales; Euphorbiaceae.